This is a long non-coding RNA of Rhineura floridana, 1245 nucleotides long. RefSeq lists it as uncharacterized. The transcript is spliced from 3 exons. The record is from RefSeq and is a predicted model, not a curated record. Lineage: Eukaryota; Metazoa; Chordata; Lepidosauria; Squamata; Rhineuridae.
UCCCCCUCUGCUUUUUUCGAGGCUCGCGGAAGCCGGGCUUGGCAAAGCGGGAUUCCUGGAGUUGGCAGUAGGGGAAAGUCCCGGUUCCACAGCAAGAGAUCCGGCGCGCGCGCGAGGAAACACCCUGUCGCCGCCACCCCUCCCCCUACUAUUCCUUAGGCCAGCUGGCGCGCGCGCAAAAUACACACACCACAGACACGCACACAGAAGACGCGGCACGUGGGAGGUUAUGAGGAGGCUUUUCUGUUGCCGCCGCCGGUGAGGCGAGUUUGGCGUUAAUGCUGCUGUUACGGCAACCAAUGCUGUCUUUCUCGCUGGGCUUUGCCAGGAACCCCGCGAGCAGGAGACUAGGAGAGAGCUGUUGAAGCGCAGGCAGGGGAGUGCGGAGCACCAGGGGAAGCCAGCAGCAGCAAAGCGAAGAGGAGGAGAGGAGGAGGACGACGACAUCUCGGUGACAAGGCGAGCGGGAAUUUCCCUUCCCUGCCUUUUCCCUCAGACUGCCGAUUAAGCAGCAGCAGCAGCAGUUCCAUGUGUGCUCUCCAAAGCAGGUCUUCGUCGCCCAGAGAGGCAGCAGGAUCCGGCUGAGUCCUAGAUGCGCUGCUGAGUGGAGGAAGGGUGCGGCGAGCUCCGUGCAUGCAGCACCCGGCUGGGCUCGCACACCUGCAAGGAUGCUCCGUCCUGAGUGCUCCUGAGGACUUAUCUUGGGCGCUGACAAGUGAGGGGAAGAGGAGCCGUGGCCUGGCUUGGCCGCCCCCCUUCAUCAGCUGCCUGGCGGCGCUGCUGGCUCCUUAGCAGGAGGCAUCAUGAUUUCCUAACCGGCUUGCUCGAGUCUCGCUCGCUUUCUCGUUCUGCCUCUCCUCCCCACGCCCCCCCCCAUGGAAUUACUCGCCACCUCCGGCUGGAGUUGGAGCUGCUGAACUCGUGUGGCUCGGCGAGCGGAGAGUGCCAGCCAAGAAGUCGACUUUUUGCUCCAUCCUGGAUGGUUUGGAGGGGAACUGCUUGAGCUGGCAGAGCCUCGAACACCAGGGGUGGGGCCGGAAGUAAAUGUCUGAAGGGGACUAAAGAAUGCUGUGAAUGAUGACCACAAUAAAUUAACAAGAACUGCUGAUUGAAAGUCUGAGAUAACAGUGAUCCCUUCAAGAGGCCCUGUUCCACUUCCAGUUCCAUGCCGACAACCAGGGAAGCCCACUGCAUGACCAGAAGCAGCAACCAGAGCACUUCUAGAUGCAGUCCUGAUCCUGUUCA